AAAAUUCAGCAAGAUUGUGAAGGAUUAGAGUCAUAAAUCGCAUGCUAGUGUCUAAAUACUCUCUAAUCCAAGAACGAAAGAAGAAGGAGCUAGUACCGGAUCACAAACAAAGGCCCAAGACCGAGUAUGUUCUGGAUGGUGUGAGUCGCGACCAGGAGGGAGGAACAAGGGGGAAACCCUAAUUACAUCAAUCAACACCAAAAUUCAGCAAGAUUGUGAAGGAUUAGAGUCAUAAAUCGCAUGCUAGUGUCUAAAUACUCUCUAAUCCAAGUGUUUUGAACAUAAGGAACGAAAGAAGAAGGAGCUAGUACCGGAUCACAAACAAAGGCCCAAGACCGAGGUAAAGCACCCGUAUGAUUGUCAUUGCGUCGCUCGGAUACGAACACACCUUGAUCACCCGUGAUGCGCUUCCGCAAGCUUUUGUAGUAACCUUAAUUGUUAAAGGCUUUCGUUAAAGUUAGUAGUGUUGAAGUUUUAUGUCUUAACUAGAUGUUUGUGAAUACUUAAGUAACUUAGACUUGAUGUUUGAAACGGUAGUUUAAAUGUUAUGGUCUUUCGUAUGUUGUUUUUCUGAAGGUGUCAUUAUUUGAGUACUUUGAUAUAUUAUAAACAGGGAGAUUGUUCAAAUUGCGAACGGGUCAUGCC
Molecule: long non-coding RNA, 645 nt
Filed under: Helianthus annuus (common sunflower)
Lineage: Eukaryota; Viridiplantae; Streptophyta; Magnoliopsida; Asterales; Asteraceae
Source: RNAcentral